AUUGAACGCUGGCGGCAUGCUUUACACAUGCAAGUCGAACGGUAACAGGCCUUCGGGUGCUGACGAGUGGCGAACGGGUGAGUAAUGCAUCGGAACGUACCCAGAGGUGGGGGAUAACGCAGCGAAAGCUGUGCUAAUACCGCAUGUGAUCUGAGGAUGAAAGCGGGGGACCGAGCAGCAAUGUUUGGCCUCGCGCCUUUGGAGCGGCCGAUGUCGGAUUAGCUAGUUGGUGGGGUAAAGGCCUACCAAGGCGACGAUCCGUAGCUGGUCUGAGAGGACGACCAGCCACACUGGGACUGGGACACGGCCCAGACUCCUACGGGAGGCAGCAGUGGGGAAUGUUGGACAAUGGGCGCAAGCCUGAUCCAGCAGUGCCGCGUGCGGGAAGAAGGCCUUCGGGUUGUAAACCGCUUUUGGCAGGAACGAACCGGUUUCCGCUAAUACCGGGCGCUAAUGACGGUACCUGCAGAAUAAGCACCGGCUAACUACGUG
This 492-nucleotide ribosomal RNA is filed under the name uncultured bacterium. Its description in RNAcentral is "partial 16S ribosomal RNA". It matches the Rfam family "Bacterial small subunit ribosomal RNA", at positions 29 to 507 of the family's 1533-position model. The record is from RNAcentral.